CCGAAGCUUGACGGGACAAUCAAUACCUGUAACAACGUAUUUUGUUAAAUAACAUUACCUAAUUGUUGAAUGAAAUGCGAAAUGUGUUAUAUAGGCUGAGCUGUAGUUAGAAACUUCGUGUUUGUUGACAACGGUUAAGAAGUAAUGUCGCACAAGGAUGAAUUUGAGUCUGGACCAAAAGAGUCUGUCGGACCCUGUCCAAGUGAGGAAAACCAGAAUCAAAGUUCUGAAUCGCUUUUGAAGUUUUUUGGUGAAGAGAUGCUAAAACGGUUACAAGAUGGGAAUUUCUCAAAUAUGUUUCAACCUCCUACUAAAACAGAGCCUUCUACUGAUAGGGAGCUGCAAGUAUGGAAGAAGGAAGAUGACACGAGUGUCG
Long non-coding RNA from Ruditapes philippinarum (Manila clam), 376 nucleotides. RefSeq lists it as uncharacterized. The transcript has 3 exons. Lineage: Eukaryota; Metazoa; Mollusca; Bivalvia; Venerida; Veneridae. The record is from RefSeq and is a predicted model, not a curated record.